AAUCCAUGUUGUGGGCAUUGAUGGAGUAGACUCUUGUAUCGCUCCUAAGCUUCUAAAUAACAUUCGAAGUCCAACUGUUGAGCUU
This 85-nucleotide small nucleolar RNA is filed under the name Olea europaea subsp. europaea. RNAcentral describes it as "Plant small nucleolar RNA R71". It matches the Rfam family "Plant small nucleolar RNA R71". From Rfam's summary of the family: R71 is a member of the C/D box family of snoRNAs containing the C (UGAUGA) and D (CUGA) box motifs. Multiple nearly identical copies of this snoRNA have been identified in Arabidopsis, and it is thought to function as a 2'-O-ribose methylation guide for 18S ribosomal RNA. The record is from Rfam by way of RNAcentral. Lineage: Eukaryota; Viridiplantae; Streptophyta; Magnoliopsida; Lamiales; Oleaceae.